GUCCAGUAAGAAGGACCCCCCACUGGUGUCCGAGUCCACAGGGAACUGAAGGCGGAAAAACAGCAGAAUUAGAGCAGAUUUAAUUCAAUAAUUCAACACUUCCAUGUAACCUUAAACUAACCAGCAGAAAAAUGUUCCAGACAAUAACUCACUGUUUUUGAUGAUUCGGGUGAGGUGACAGGUGAGAGAUGAUCCGGAGACAGUUGAGAAAUCUCGUUAAAUAACGACAGAGACUGGGUCUUACUGGGCUGACUAGGACUGACUAGGUUUGUAGACACAUGAUGAAGUUGGCUCUGGAGUUGGACAUUAGUCUCUUGGAUUUCUAUAAUCUCUCGCUCCUGGUUCUGGACCUACAAAACAAGGCAUGGAAUAAUUAGGAAGACCCAGAUAAUAACUAUAAUAUACUGAUCAGUGAAUCAUGGAACAGAUUGAAAUUUGGAGGUGUUUGGUAUUUGAAUACACUACACCUUUCAUUGAGAACAUCCCUCGUGAGGAAACAGAUGGUAUAUGCGUGGUAUGUCAUAGAAAGCCAUUUUGUGUCAUUUCCAUAAAAAUAGCCUGACAUGGAGUGAAUAACAUUAAUCCCAGUGAGAUUGGAUCAAUAUUGGAGCCAUCGUUUUUAUACACUUUGUGUUACAAGUGGGAACUAUGCUACAAUUAUGUACACAUAGAACAGGAAGGAAAAAAGACAUGCUUAUCUAAAACUUGGUGCGGUCAUAUGACAAAUGAAGAAUUAAAUAAUGUGCAUUUAUGGUGUGGCAAUUCAUGCAAAAAUAAAUAAAAAUUUCAGGUACAUUAAAUGUACUCUUUUAA
Saccostrea cuccullata (small rock oyster) is the source of this 813-nucleotide long non-coding RNA. RefSeq lists it as uncharacterized. Lineage: Eukaryota; Metazoa; Mollusca; Bivalvia; Ostreida; Ostreidae. The record is from RefSeq and is a predicted model, not a curated record. The transcript is spliced from 3 exons.